GUCAGGGUGACGUAGUGGUUAGCGCAUCUGCCUUGUAAGCAGAAUACCCAGGUUCGAAUCCUGGCCUUGGUA
Molecule: non-coding RNA, 72 nt
Organism: Schistocerca serialis cubense
Lineage: Eukaryota; Metazoa; Arthropoda; Insecta; Orthoptera; Acrididae
Source: the annotation of a RefSeq genome assembly